CUUGCUGAGGUGCACACAGCAAG
RNAcentral lists this unclassified non-coding RNA (23 nucleotides) under synthetic construct. The record is from RNAcentral.